UACGUAGGUGGCAAGCGUUGUCCGGAUUUAUUGGGUUUAAAGGGUGCGUAGGCGGUUUAAUAAGUCAGUGGUGAAAUACGGCAGCUCAACUGUCGAGGUGCCAUUGAUACUGUUGGACUUGAGUACAGACGAGGUAGGCGGAAUUGACGGUGUAGCGGUGAAAUGCUUGGAUAUCGUCAAGAACACCGAUAGCGAAGGCAGCUUACUAGGCUGUAACUGACGCUGAGGCACGAAAGUGUGGGGAUCAAACAGG
This 253-nucleotide ribosomal RNA is filed under the name uncultured bacterium. Its description in RNAcentral is "partial 16S ribosomal RNA". It matches the Rfam family "Bacterial small subunit ribosomal RNA", at positions 524 to 776 of the family's 1533-position model. The record is from RNAcentral.